UAAUGCGGAGGUAUACAUGCUUUUAUUGGAAUUUAACGGGACUAAACGCGCGCAUAGGUUGUUUUGUAACCCGAGAUGAUAAAGCCCCGGGUUUAACCGGGGGAAGGACAUUUCGAACUGUCAGACUAGAGUGUUGUAGAGGGUAGUGGAAUUUUCCUGUGUAGCGGUGAAAUGCGUAGAUAUGGGAAGGAACACCAGUGGCGAAGGCGGCUACCUGGACCAACACUGACACUGAGGUGCGAAAGCGUGGGGAGCAACCAGGAUUAGAUACCCUGGUAGUCCACGCCGUAAACGAUGUCAACUAGCCGUUGGGACUCUUGAAGUCUUAGUGGCGCAGCUAACGCAUUAAGUUGACCGCCUGGGGAGUACGGCCGCAAGGUUAAAACUCAAAUGAAUUGACGGGGGCCCGCACAAGCGGUGGAGCAUGUGGUUUAAUUCGACGCAACGCGAAGAACCUUACCUGGCCUUGACAUCCAGAGAACUUUCCAGAGAUGGAUUGGUGCCUUCGGGAACUCUGAGACAGGUGCUGCAUGGCCGUCGUCAGCUCGUGUCGUGAGAUGUUGGGUUAAGUCCCGUAACGAGCGCAACCCCUAUCCCUGGUUGCUAGCAGGUAAUGCUGAGAACUCCAGGGAGACUGCCGGUGACAAACCGGAGGAAGGUGGGGAUGACGUCAGGUCAUCAUGGCCCUUACGGCCAGGGCUACACACGUGCUACAAUGGCGCGUACAGAGGGCCGCCAACUCGCGAGAGUGAGCCAAUCCCUUAAAACGCGUCGUAGUCCGGAUCGGAGUCUGCAACUCGACUCCGUGAAGUCGGAAUCGCUAGUAAUCGCGAAUCAGAAUGUCGCGGUGAAUACGUUCCCGGGCCUUGUACACACCGCCCGUCACACCAUGGGAGUGGAUUGCACCAGAAGUAGUUAGUCUAACCUUCGGGAGGACGAUACCACGGUGUGU
RNAcentral lists this ribosomal RNA (952 nucleotides) under Marinobacter nauticus. RNAcentral describes it as "bacterial SSU rRNA". It matches the Rfam family "Bacterial small subunit ribosomal RNA", at positions 521 to 1467 of the family's 1533-position model. The record is from RNAcentral. Lineage: Bacteria; Pseudomonadati; Pseudomonadota; Gammaproteobacteria; Pseudomonadales; Marinobacteraceae.